AAGUUAGCAGGCGGACGGGUAGAGUAACACGUGGGUAACCUGCCCAUAAGACUGGGAUAACUCCGGGAAACCGGGGCUAAUACCGGAUAACAUUUUGAACCGCAUGGUUCGAAAUUGAAAGGCGGCUUCGGCUGUCACUUAUGGAUGGACCCGCGUCGCAUUAGCUAGUUGGUGAGGUAACGGCUCACCAAGGCAACGAUGCGUAGCCGACCUGAGAGGGUGAUCGGCCACACUGGGACUGAGACACGGCCCAGACUCCUACGGGAGGCAGCAGUAGGGAAUCUUCCGCAAUGGACGAAAGUCUGACGGAGCAACGCCGCGUGAGUGAUGAAGGCUUUCGGGUCGUAAAACUCUGUUGUUAGGGAAGAACAAGUGCUAGUUGAAUAAGCUGGCACCUUGACGGUACCUAACCAGAAAGCCACGGCUAACUACGUGCCAGCAGCCGCGGUAAUACGUAGGUGGCAAGCGUUAUCCGGAAUUAUUGGGCGUAAAGCGCGCGCAGGUGGUUUCUUAAGUCUGAUGUGAAAGCCCACGGCUCACCCGUGGAGGGUCAUUGGAAACUGGGAGACUUGAGUGCAGAAGAGGAAAGUGGAAUUCCAUGUGUAGCGGUGAAAUGCGUAGAGAUAUGGAGGAACACCAGUGGCGAAGGCGACUUUCUGGUCUGUAACUGACACUGAGGCGCGAAAGCGUGGGGAGCAAACAGGAUAGAUACCCUGGGUAGUCCACGCCGUAAACGAUGAGUGCUAAGUGUUAGAGGGUUUCCGCCCUUCUAGUGCUGAAG
This 781-nucleotide ribosomal RNA is filed under the name Bacillus cereus. RNAcentral describes it as "bacterial SSU rRNA". It matches the Rfam family "Bacterial small subunit ribosomal RNA", at positions 88 to 851 of the family's 1533-position model. The record is from RNAcentral. Lineage: Bacteria; Bacillati; Bacillota; Bacilli; Caryophanales; Bacillaceae.